UCAGCCAGGGCCUCUCUGUGCGGAGUUUGCAUGUUCUCCCCAUGUUUGCGUGGAUUUCCUCUGGGUACUCCGGUUUCCUCCCACAGUCCAAAGACAUGCAGGUUAGGCUGGAGGGUCUAAAUUGCCUGUAGGUUUGAGUGUGUGUGUGCCCUGCAAUGGACUGGCGACUUGUCCAGGGUGUAUUCCUGCCUUUUGCCCAAUGUAUGCUGGGAUAGGCUCCAGCCAACCCUACGACCCUGUUCAGGAUAAGCAGGUUAGGAUAAUGAAUGAAUGUAAUCAUUUGUAAUAUAUGAUAUAUAUUUGCAUAAUGAUAAUAUUCAAUUUUUUUUCUUCAUGGCAUGCAUGGGUAUCUCUUACAUACUUUAUCAUUUCUCUGACUUUGUUCAGGAGGUCAGAUUGUGGCUGUGGCUGCAGCUGUGGGAGUCAGUGCCAUUGUGGCUCUUGUGUUUCUUGGUGUUGUCUGGGUGAGGUACGUGACUGGAAAUGUGUCACUGUUCGCAGUCCACAGGCUAAAACUAGCAUAUUUCUGUAGAAUGGUGUUGUCAUAUGCUAAUUACAUUGCUUCAUGCUGAUGCCAUAGUCCCCCUCUGUUGUCUGAUUAGUGCUUGUCUCAUCAGUCUGAUUAUUGCUUGUCUCAUCAGUCAUUUGGGAUUAUUGUACUGUCAACCUUAAAUGUGCAGGCUCAUUUCCUGUGAUGGAAUGACAUUUGAACAAUAAAAAAUACUGGCGGCAAAUACUUGGCAAUACACAUCAUUCAAACAAAUGCAAGAUGCUACUUGCAACAGAAGGUUUUGUCUCAGUGUUUCUCUGAAGUUGUUUUCUCCAGAUAGUUUUGCUCUGCAGAUAGAUCCAGAUAGUUUUGCUCUGCAGAUAGGUCCAGAUAGUUUUGCUCUGCUGAUGGAUUCAUCUUCCUACUUUUAAAUUAAGCAAGAGAAGAAAAUCAACAAAUGAGACAGUGCACACAGAAGGGGACAGGGAGGUAAGUCAAUCAAAAGACAUAUUUCAGACAUAAUAUAUAUUACAUGAGGCCUGCUCCAUCAAAACCACUCCUAUUGGCCCCAAAGCAUAUUUUCAUUUCUACACAAGAUAUCAAGGGAGCCCUGUCCCAUUUCAUUUUGAAUGGCACCAAACCCUUUAAAACUAUAUUUCUACGCUGAACAUUUGAUAUUAAGAUAUACAGACCAUGACAGCAAAGACAUGUAGCUAUGAAUGCGGCUAAUGUGGUUGUUUGUGACUGGUGAACGGUGACAAUCCUUCACCUGCCUCUUUCUUCUGCCCUGUAGGGGAAUAAAGGCCCCAUUUAUAGCAACGUCUCAGGGACGCCAAUGAGUCACACUGAAACCCUGGGUACAGACAGAGGAAACGGUGAAGUUCCCCUCUACUCCUCUGUACAACCUGCUAACACACACAACCAAGAAGAGCUUCUAUUCUCCACUGUGUGCUGCCCUCAGAGUGAGGAUGAGGUUCAGUAUGCCAGCGUCCAGUUCCUCCCCUCCGGUGCUGGCCCCAGGCCACCAGCAUCGACAGUGACGGAAGACUGCGUUCUCUACAGCACAGUUCGAAAACAUCAAACAUGAAAAUAAAGCGUCCACAUCUCUCAUUUCACAAACCUUGGGCCGACGCUGAUUAUGCAGUGUGCAAACAGUAUCUCUUUGAAUGUGCAAGCAUUUCCUGUGUUUUAAUAAGCAAAUAUUCUGUCUGGAUAGCAAUCAUUAAGCAUCAACAUCCUUCGCUUGGAAUCAACCAAACAUGUACCUGAUGACAUGAUGUACCUUAUGACUAAAAUAAUUGAUUAUAAGAUUGAAAAAGAUUUUUAAAUUUUUAAAUUUUUUAUUUAUUAGUUUAUUUGUCAGGGACAAUGCAGAGAUAAUUCUAACAGGUUACAAUAGCAUGACACAGAUGUGUUGCAUCUAGUAUUUCUAGCCAAGGCUAAUUAGCAAUCCCUGUUCUUUUUUUAAGCUUUUCUUCUUAAAAAUAGUCAUUACAUAUCAUCAUUACCAAAAGUACAUUAGUCAAAGUGAGCACAUAGUAAAUAGUGACAUUGCAGGUGAAUGCAGGUGAUUCAGGAUUUGCUGAGCAGACAUACUAUCUGAGUGACAUAUAAGGGAAGAAACCGCUCCAGUCGUCACACUGGAGAUCAGACUCAGACUCUUUCAGGGACUGUUUACCUCUCUACUAUCCCCUUUUCCCCCAAUUUGCUCAUGAACUUAUGAACUCAGGUCACAUGACGGUGGUUAUUGGGUGUUUAAAGGUAUACUCAAAAUGGAUCGUUCCUUUGAAAUUCUUUCAACAGUAUAUGUGUUGUAUGUCUAUAUAUUGUACACAAAGUGUUAUAAAGAUGCCAUUUUAUUUAUUCAAGUUCAAGAGUGGUGAUCCCCUAAUAAACCCCUGACCACAGUA
Long non-coding RNA from Conger conger (European conger), 2400 nucleotides. RefSeq lists it as uncharacterized. Lineage: Eukaryota; Metazoa; Chordata; Actinopteri; Anguilliformes; Congridae. The record is from RefSeq and is a predicted model, not a curated record. The transcript is spliced from 2 exons.